RNAcentral lists this unclassified non-coding RNA (886 nucleotides) under Zea mays. Its description in RNAcentral is "misc RNA Zm00001eb371120". Lineage: Eukaryota; Viridiplantae; Streptophyta; Magnoliopsida; Poales; Poaceae. The record is from RNAcentral.
UUUGGCGACUCCGCUGGGGAGCGAUUUGCAAUUAUUGCACAGAGACAAACUGCUGGCGAUUGGCGUCCUUAUCGCCAAUCAUAGUCAGGGCUAUGGAGGAAAAGACAGCAAAGAAGGAGGCACCGGACAAAUCUGAAGUUCAUCCCUUGAACGUGAUCAAGGUCACGAUGGAGGACCUUACAGAGGCAGACCGGAAGGAGAUUGAAGAAGAGAUCGCACGAGAGAUGGAGGAGAAACGGAAUGAAAAGUUGGCUUGUUUUCGGAAGACCAAGAAUGGCGUAUUCAAACAAGCUAGCGGAGCAGGCACUUCCAGCAAGAAGGUAAGUCCGUUUGUCACUUGUGAAGAAUUGGCUCACAUGAUCGAUACUGCUGUAGCUAGCAAAUAUGGGACUGACGUCACAGAGAUAACACACAUGAUUUCUGAGGGAGUGCGUAAUUCUUUUGACACGUUUAGAUCUGAAUUUAGACAAGAUAUGAAUAAUAAUAUGCCUAGACAGAUUCGAUCUAUAGUUCAACAGGUUCAAGGAGAAUUGCAGGGGAAGCGUGUAGAAAAUCUUUCAUAUGCGCCUAGUUGUAACGGAGCAGCUGCGCAUAAUAAUGUAAACCAAACUGUUAAUGAGAGGGGCGAGGAUUCAGUAAUGAACUUUAAUCUACAGCAGCCAUAUUAUCAGAGUAUGGCAUAUGGGCCACCUAUUCCGCCUAUAGGGAACAGGAGCCCACAAGGAUUUGUUCCAAAUGAUUACAAGAAUGGGGGGCAGGGAGUACUGCUAUCAGCAUCGGGAAUCACACAUGCAGCAUGUGAGGGUGAGAGAUCUGAGGGUGUUAGAGAGCAAGUGGCAAAGACUCUCAGGGAAUUUGGUUUUGAGCCUAAAGGGCAUACUAGGUC